ACGCUGGCGGCGUGCCUAAUACAUGCAAGUCGAGCGAACGGACGAGAAGCUUGCUUUUCUGAUGUUAGCGGCGGACGGGUGAGUAACACGUGGAUAACCUACCUAUAAGACUGGGAUAACUUCGGGAAACCGGAGCUAAUACCGGAUAAUAUUUUGAACCGCAUGGUUCAAAAGUGAAAGACGGUCUUGCUGUCACUUAUAGAUGGAUCCGCGCUGCAUUAGCUAGUUGGUAAGGUAACGGCUUACCAAGGCAACGAUGCAUAGCCGACCUGAGAGGGUGAUCGGCCACACUGGAACUGAGACACGGUCCAGACUCCUACGGGAGGCAGCAGUAGGGAAUCUUCCGCAAAGGGCGAAAGCCUGACGGAGCAACGCCGCGUGAGUGAUGAAGGUCUUCGGAUCGUAAAACUCUGUUAUUAGGGAAGAACAUAUGUGUAAGUAACUGUGCACAUCUUGACGGUACCUAAUCAGAAAGCCACGGCUAACUACGUG
This 492-nucleotide ribosomal RNA is filed under the name uncultured bacterium. RNAcentral describes it as "partial 16S ribosomal RNA". It matches the Rfam family "Bacterial small subunit ribosomal RNA", at positions 33 to 507 of the family's 1533-position model. The record is from RNAcentral.